UGUUCGCUGAGUUGUCCUUUAACUUUAGCAUUGCCAUUGUUUGCUCCCCAUUUGACUGUUACUCUUUGCUGUAGUCUUAUCUUGUAUGUUGACUGUAUGAUUCACAAGAUUGAUGUAUGUGUAGUGCAAAGCAUUUGCUGGCAGAGACAAAACUGGAACACAAUGAAGCUUUACUAUCCCAAGAGGCUGAUGCUGAUUAUGUCAUAGAAGUUUCAGGUGCGAUCAACAGUAAUGCAGCAUUUUAUAGUGGUUAUCAGGGGUAUGAUAGUAGUAAUUGGUAUAAUGGUGCCUUGGUUGAGGAGAUGGCUUCGACAAUGUUGGUCAGUGGGGUUGAUAGCUUUGCUAGUUUGGUGGGAGGAGAAGAAAGGAUCAACCACCGGCUGAAAUUAUUGAGGUGAAGCAGGAUGAAUUGAUGAAGAACCGCCCAACUGGGGAUAAAUCUAAGCUUAUUGGAAUAGCAUUUGGACCUUCUUAUCAGCAAAACUGUUGAGUGCUUAAGCACAGCAAAGGAAAAGCAACAAAUUCUGAAGGAAGAGCAGCCACCAGCACAAGACAGCCUGCCUGAACAGAAGCGAAAUCAAUCACCCAGCCAGCUUGAACAGAGAAGAAACACAGCCACAGAAGAAUUGCCACAACCAUCAGAGCAGAAACACAGCCACAGCCACCAGGGCAGAAACACAGUCAGCAAAACAGCCACCAGCACAAGACCAGGACAUCUAGUUAAAUGAAAUGCAAGAAAGAUCGAUCAGAGAUAAGUCUAGAUUAUUUAAAUUUUUUUGGACGAAAACUGUAAUA
Molecule: long non-coding RNA, 795 nt
Organism: Chenopodium quinoa (quinoa)
Lineage: Eukaryota; Viridiplantae; Streptophyta; Magnoliopsida; Caryophyllales; Amaranthaceae
Exons: 3
Source: RefSeq, a predicted model, not a curated record